RNAcentral lists this ribosomal RNA (211 nucleotides) under uncultured bacterium. RNAcentral's name for it is "partial 16S ribosomal RNA". It matches the Rfam family "Bacterial small subunit ribosomal RNA", at positions 143 to 353 of the family's 1533-position model. The record is from RNAcentral.
AUAGCCUUUCGAAAGAAAGAUUAAUACCCGAUGGCAUAGUUCUUCCGCAUGGUAGAACUAUUAAAGAAUUUCGGUCAUCGAUGGGGAUGCGUUCCAUUAGGUUGUUGGCGGGGUAACGGCCCACCAAGCCUUCGAUGGAUAGGGGUUCUGAGAGGAAGGUCCCCCACAUUGGAACUGAGACACGGUCCAAACUCCUACGGGAGGCAGCAUG